GCAAAUUGAUGAGGAAAUAGGAAUGGAGAAUCCAAAGCAACACAUUUUGAUUUAUCAAAAUGACACUUGGCUCUGUUUCUGCAUGGGCGCUUCAUCAGGUGUCAUCCCCUCUGAACCUCUGUCUGUCUUAACUGCAAAUUACACUUGUGAGUAACACUCUUUUCCUUCAUACAUGCUAUGUUUUUCUUUUCUUUUCUUUCUUUUUUAAAUGUGAAAAUAUUUUUUUUAAAACAAAAAGAAAUGAAAUGAAAAAUAAGAAAUAAAAAGUGAACUCAAAUGGUUUUUCUAAAAGUAAAGCUCCUAGAUAAAUAUUCAAUGAGCAACUUCGUUAAUGUUGAAUCAGAAUCAAUUUUUUCCUUUAAAAAGUUAGAGUGCAUCAUAUCCACAUUAUAAAUUUGUCUAAGUAUUAGUAUACCAUGUUUACAUAGAUUUUUCAUUUGAUAUCUAUACAUUUUCAUGAAUUCAGCACACACGAUUUGACUAGAAAUGUCACAUUUGGGCACUGUAGUAGGCGUUAAUAGAUAUAAAGGAAACAGUGGAUUCUUUUCUCGAUUUGUGUGGCUUCUUUUGCUGUGAUUUAUUUCUUUUGGGAAUGCGUACUCUUCUAAACUAUAGUCUACUGUCUGCUAAUAAAUCAUUGUGUCUUUUUCUUAGUUUUUUUUGUUUUUCUUUGAUUAAAAAACAAGUUGACAGAGGUAGAAAUACUGUUUAAAGCAUGAUCAAAUAACUCACAUAAUAAAUAUAUAUACGGAAAUUAUUUAUAAUAUAUAGAAAAAGAAAAAACAAAUUUAAAUGGGUCUUGAAAAAUUUAAUAGUAUUUUACUGUGUUUAGUAAAGAGUUUCAAUUUUUGUUAUAUCUAAAAAUGUCUCAAUAAUUAAAUUGGAUCCUAAUUUAAUUAAUUGAUCUAAAUUUUAGGAAGUUCGAGUCCUAAUUAAAUUAAGCUUCUCUUAUUAUCAAAGCUAGCUUGGAGAUAUCAAUAAUUUUUUAACCAUUAGUUGGUAAAGUUGAUCUUCAAUCAGUAGAAGCUGAUUUUCAACUAACAUAUUAUUGAACUGAUUAUGGUUGGUUUAGUCGUUUAAGAGUAAAAGUAAGACAAUUGAUUAAAUAAAUUAAUUCUCUCAAAAUAUUUUUAAUAUUUAUCCAUUUAAAAAUUUUCUCAUACAAAUAUAAAGGGAUAGUUGCAAAUUUAACAAUUAAAUUCAAAAUAAUUAAGUAUAUAGCAACAUUUUUAAAAAAUUACAAAUAUAGCAAAAUUUGUCAAAUUCUAUUAAUGAUAGAGUCUAUCACUGAUAGAUCAUGUUGUAAAAAUUGAUCUAUUCCCGAUAGAUCAUACGAGUCUAUCAGUGAUACAAGUCUAUCAGUGAUAGUUUUGCUAUAUUUGCAAUUUUUUAAAAAUGUUGCUAUAUUCUUAAUUAUUAUUUCUCAAAUGGUCAUCCAUUAUAAUUACCCUAAUAUUAAACUAACUUCUCUCGUUCUCCAAGUCGUCGAUAAGACUUAAUCUUUUGUUCAACUAUGCGCUACUAAUUGAAAAAAGUUGAGAAGGAUCCAUUCGAAGAUUCUCAUGAUUUUAGGCUUCACAUACAAAGCCAAAAUACAAGCCCACACCCUAAUCAAAUCCAACCUUUUUUUAAAGUUAAAUAUGGUGGGAUAAUUAUAAUUGAUAACAAUUUUAUGAAUAAUUAUUAAAUAUAUAAUAUUAUUUUAAAAGAUUAUAAAUAUAACAAAAUUUAUCUGUGAAAUUUUUGAUGAUAGACUCUUAUGGUUUAAGAGUGAUAGACUUAGACAGAUUUUGCUAUAUUUACUAAUUUUUUAAAAUAUCGUUAUAUACUUAGUUAUUUUGAAUCUAAUGGUUAUAUUUAUAACUAUUCUAAUAACAUAUCUAGAUUUAGUGAACUUUUGAAAUUAUAAAUUUGAUUUAAAUAGUUGUAAAUAUAGUAAUUAAAUUCAAAAUAUUAGCAUGUAUAGUAAGAUUUUUAAAAAAAAUUAUAAAUAUAAUAAAAUUUGUCAAAGCCUACAAUGAUAACCCUUUUAAAAACAUUCACCUAGAAGCCUAAUAGGCUUUAUUAUAUUUUCAAUUUUAAAAAAAUAUUGUUAUAUAUCUAAUAUAAAUUUAAAAAAUUUAAGAUUUUAUAAGACCAAGUUUAAAUAUAUCUUAUAAAUUAGGUUCUUUUUUAAUUUAAAUAUAACAUUUCAAAACUUAUUAAAUAUAAAAUUGAAAGUUUGAGUACCUAUUAAAGAUUAGACAUUUACCACCAUAUUAAACCUUUUUGGAAAAAGUUUAGAGAUUACAUAGAUAGGGUUGGCAGCAUAUUCUCAAAAUUACUAAACUUACAGUUUACCACUGUUUUUUCUCUCUCUCUCUCUUCAACUUUUUUUUUUAAUGUAUAAUUUUUUACGCAAUUAAAAUACACAAUCCAACAAAAAUAAUAAAUAAAUAAAUAAAAUUUAGGGUUUAUGGAGAAAAAAACGUUUUUGAACCGUAAUAGUUGUUACAACCACAUUACUAGGCUUUCAAUUUGAUUAACCAAUUAUUAAACUUGUGAACUUUAAUAACUAACCUCCUAAGCAUUGGAAAAAAUACGUAUCUUUAGAUGGGUAUUAAUAAUUUUGUUGUUUUUCUCAAAUUUCUAUGAAUUCUGUAAGUUUCAAAAACUAUAUAAUUGGCGUCCAGUUAAAAAUAAUGUAAUUUUUUUUCUAGUAUUAAGAAUUUGAAUAAUUUCUUCAACAAUUUUUGUAGUUUGAAAAAUUGAUUUAAUCAACACUUAUCAAUGUAGUUUGUGGUCAAUUGUUGUACUUUGUCAUGUAGUGAGAGUUUGAUUGCAACAAAAUUUUGAAAUUUUUUAUGAGUUUUUCUUAACCACUGUAACGUACGAUUAAGUACUAUUUUAAAUAACCAACACGAAAUUCUAUCUAUCUUCAUUUAGGUGAUCGAUCAAUUAAAAAUUUUAUUACAUCAAUCUUAUGUUAUGUCCGUUUUCUCCUCGUGGAUUUAAAGGUAAAUUUGACAUCGAGAUUGAUAAAGCCCUUGUAAAUAAUUUUGAGUUUAUUAUUAUUUUAUUUCGAGACUAUGUUUCUACGAUGAUGUUAAAUCUUGAUUUUAAAAUUUUAAAUCAUUAAAAUGAAAUUCAAAAUCUAUGGCAAAUAAUAAAAUUACUAAAAAUAUUUAUAAAACUAACAAAAUUUCAUAUUUAAUUAGAAGGUGUAUGAUAUGAGGUAAUGAGUGAAUUACUAUAGUCCUAGUUUAUUAUACUUGAGUUAUAAUAGAUUGUAUUUAAAGCGUAAAUUAUUUUAGUUUGAAUUAUAACAAUACGCAUUUGUAGAUUAUUUUAGUUUAAAAACGAAAUAGCAAGCAAAUAAUUAAGAAAAUGUCAAAUAGUAAAAACCGUAGUAAAUGUGAGUUUUUGAAACAGUGUUUACGGAAGUUAAUUGAUAAUUUUUAAAUAAUAUUUAUUGUAACUAGAUGUGAUUAUUAUGAUCUUGCAAAAUUCUCGUUCCAAACGACUUGUUAGUGUUCAUCAUCAAUAGAAAACGAAAUACAAAUGUUUAAUAGACUUCUAUCAAUAAAAAAAGUUGAAAAUAUAAACAACCUACCAAGGUGUGUUUGGGGGAAGGGUUGAGUUAUGAAGGGUUAGUGUUAUGAUAAAUAUAAGUGUUAUAAUAAAUAUAAGUGUUGUAAUAAUAUGUGUUUGGGGGAAGAGUUAUGUAGGAAGACUUAUGAGAUGGUUAUGAUAAAAUGUGUUUAGGAUAAGGGUUAUGUAUGAAGGAUUGUGAUAAGAUGUGUUUGAGGAAAGAGUUAUGGAUGGACUCUUAUGAAAUUUAUUUUUCUGUACAUUUUUUUUUUUAAAUUCGUAUUCUAAAUCCAACAACAUUUUUGUAUAUUUAAUUUACCAAAUUAUCCUAUUUUCAUAAAACAAUUUUCAAUAAUUUCUUUAAACGUGACGUCUAUUUCCAACUUUUUUUAAGUUGUCGUUAUGUCCGAAUAAUUUAUUGAUUUUUUUAAAGAAAUGUGUAUUCUAAAUCCAAUACACAUAUUUAUUUGAUGUAAUUGUUACGUGCAAGUAAAUUAUUAUUAUUUUUUUAAAAAAGUCAUAUUCUAAUUCCAUUAUACAAAUUUUGUAUAUUUAAUUUACUAAAUCGUCAUUGUUUUCGUAACACAAUUUGCCUUAAUUUCUUUAAAUAGGAUAUGAACCUUUUUUUUAAGUAAUUGGUUGAAUAAAUUACUCUUUUUCCUUUUAAAGAUAAAACAUUCUCACUUUUCUUCUUAUCUCAAUAUUAUGUUUUUUUUCCUCUUUUUAAAUUAAAGAAUUGUUGUUCCUAGGAGCAACAAAAAUGAUAAAAAAUUAUAUACGAAAGAUAUAAAAGAUAAAAAUUAAGGAGGAAAGAGAAAAAAAAAGUACAUUUUGAAAAAGUAUAUCAUAAUUUGGUAAAAAAAUAUAUUCAAACUUUAAUUCAAAUAAAUAAUAAAUCAAAUUUUGCCCUUAUAUAUUUAAAUUUCAAAUACUUCAAAAAAAUAUUUGUUAUACAUUGUUUUAGGUUGUUUAAAGAUUCAAAAGUUAUUUAAUUUAACAUUAAAUUGUUUGAUUUUGUUUUAAUUUUUUAUAAAUUUAAUAAAAUUCAUUUUUUAGAAAUUUAUUUUACUCAAAUUUAUCAGAUACAUGUAGAUUAGAUUUAAAAUAAAAUAUUUGAAAAGUGAAAGAAGAUUAUAAAAAGAAAAACAAAUAAAAGACAUGAAAUAAUAAAAAAAUAAAAAAAUAAAAAAAACAAAUAUGAAAACUAAAUGAAUGAACUAAUCACAAUUAAUAUUUAAUUAAAAUUAAUUUCAAAAAUAAAAUAAAUUAAAAAUAUUAUUUUUAAAUUAUUAAAUUAAUUAAAAAUAAAUGACAUUUGAUAAAUAAAAGAGUAAUUUAUUUUAAAAAAGUAAAAUAGUAAAACUAGGAAGAAUUGAAAAUGUAGAAUUAUGGGGAGUUGACAAAGUAGGAUUAGAGAAAAACAAGAGGAAAAAAGAAUAUGGGUUAUGAUAAACCUAACCUAACCGCCAUAACCCUUCCCCAAAAGCCUCGUCAAUAUUUACGAGUGCAUUAAUAAGAUAAAUUAUAAAUUAUUUAAUCCAUUAUAUUAUUUAACUCUCUAAAUUAAUAUUUUAUUUUCAAAGUAAGAUAUUAAGCGAAAGAGAGAUAGAGAUAGAGAUAGAGAAGGAGAAAAGUGAGAAUAUUGAGAUAUUUAUUCAUUUAUUAAAAAAAAAAGGAAAAGGAUGUGAGGAAAGUUAGGAUGAAAAGUGAAAGAGUUGGCAUUGGGAAAGAACAGCCACAGCCACAGCCAAAGCCACACGCAAAAGAAGGAGCGUGUUAGAAAGUAGAAAGUGUUUAGAUUCAUUAGCUGUCUGUCGGUGCUCGCCUGCUCGGACCCAUUGGAUCCGAACCGACCCUUCAACUUACCCAAUCCUAUGAACCGACGGACUAUUCUCUUCACCCUUUUUUUCUCUCCUUUCUCUCUUUUCUUUUUUCGUUCAUAAAAUGCUAACAUCCUUUUACCUUAACACUUUAUUUAUUUUUUUAUUUUGAUUUUGUUAGUUUCUUUUUUUAAUAUAACCAAUUAAACCAAAUUGUUUAUAAAUAUGGUAAAAUUAUACAAUGAUAGACUAUUAUUUAUAUGUUUAUAUUAUCGUAGAUUUAGUACGAUAUAUUUUGAUACACUGUGAUAUGUUUUUAUAAAUAGAAAAAAUUGAUAAGCUAUUUACAUUUUAGAGAACAAAAUUUUUAAUUGACAAUUUGUAUUACACUUUAUAUUUAUUUGAUACUGUUUUUUUUAUAAUUUUCUUUUCUAUACUUGUUAUAGUAUUUUUAGGUUUCAUAUUUAGUAUAUAUUUUUUCUGAGAAAGAGAGUGCAUUUUCCUACAUUUAGUGAAGUUAAAAAAUUACAAUAAAUAAAUAAACUAUCUCAAUUUUAGUUAUUUCACAAAUUCGAGAGCAAAUAGGAUGAUUUGAGUUUUGACAUUAAAUAACUUUCUUUGUAAGCCUACGGUUGUCAAACUAAAGUGGUUUUUUUACCAAAAUCUUAUUGUUUUUUCGUUUUUGUUGCUUCGUCUCAUAAUUAAAUUUAUAUCAAUAAUAGUAUUUAGUCACGUAAUAAUUAUCUUCCAAUUUAUCUAUACAUUCAUUUUUAAACCUUUGUACAUUUUUUCGAAUCUUAAAACAUAACGGAGAAUAAAAUUUAAAACUAUGGACAAAUUUAAAUUAUAUAGACGAAUAUCAUGGGAGAUUUUAAUAGAUAAAACAACUCCAAUAAACAUCUCUCUUUAUUUAAAGUUUCAAAUAUUUCUGGAUUUAUGGAAUCUAAUGCGAUCUCACCUACUAAAGAAAUGUAUAUAUAUACAAUUGAAAAUUUUGUGAAUGUUUCCCAAUUGCUGAAAUUUAUUUAUUUAAAUGUGGCUUAACCACUAAAUUAGUGUAAAACAACUGUGGUUCGAGAAGAAAGAAUAUAGAAUUUAUUUUAUUUAUUUAUUUAAAAUAUAAUAAGCUAUAAAAGACAAAAAUUAACAAAUCAUCAAUAUUCUUUAUUUAUAGAACUUUCCCUUUUUAUAUUCCAAAAUGUGAAUCCAUUCUCUUUAUUCACGUGCCAAUAAUUGUUAUUUUUCUAAUCUCAUCCUUUCUUCUUCUACUCACCAUCGUUUUAAUAUUCAAAUUCUACCAAAUGAUAUUUAUUUUAGUCAUGAGUUUAGCUCAAUCAGCAUCGAUAUGCUUUUUUAAAAAGUCUUUAUUUUAAAUUUCUCAAAUAUUUUCACAUAGUGGUAUAUCAAACAUGUGUAUUUCCAAACAUAUAUAAUUCUAGGCAUCUCAAUAUUUCGGUUACUGCAUUUUCGAGAAGUAAACGACCUCUUAAUUUUUUUAAAGAAAGAAAUGCCAAUAUUAUUGUUUUUGGUGGAAUUAAAGUCAACGAGAUGAGUUACUCAUGAAUAUAUGACACAAUUACAUGGUAGUAAAAAAAAUCUUCCACAUGUUCUUGUGCAUGAAACUGAGCUAUAUGUUAUUUUGUUUUAUAGACACACCUUCCUUCAUCUUUCUUAGUACUAAGGAAAUAUAGGUUCAUUUUUUUCCAACUAACGGUAUGACUUAUAAAGUCUUCAUACCUGUAAAGCCUUUAUAAGGUUGUAAAGACUUUUAAAGUCUUCACAAGGUUAAACAAGUGUCAAAUAGAAAAGAAGUUCAACUCAAUUGAUAUUGGUGUGUGCUUUUAAAGAUUAAUUGAGAGAUUUGUAGUUCAAACUCCACACUACCGCUAGUACUGGAAAAGGUGUCAAAUCAUAGAAGCUUAUGAUCAAAUUGUAAUACAUUUUCUCUAUUUUAGGGUGAAUUCUAAUAUUUCAGUCACUAAUUUUAUGAGAAAAGACACCAUUUUAAAACAUGACAAUGAUGACUGGCAACAGUGACAAUAGGUCUAUGGUUAAAGAAAACUACAAAAGAGGAAUCAAACAGAGGAUAAAUAAGAUGAAGAAAUUAUGGCAACACUUCCAAUCUCAUGUCAUGCUGUUCUAUUUUUGUUAGGUCAAGGUCGAUCGGCUGAUAAUCAAAACAGUUGAGGAAAUACUACAUUUGCUUUUAUGAGAAAAGACACCAUUUUAAAACGUGAUAACGAUGACAAGCGACAACGACAAGAAAUAGAGAAAUUCAUAAAAGAACGAAGUUAUAUCAACACUCCUAAUCACAUAUUAUUUCAAUAUUUUAUAAUUAGGUAAAGAUCGAUUAACAAUAAAGAGGGUUGAGGAGAGAUUACUUUGAACCCUAUUCAAAUGUCAAACGUGCAUAACACUUUUUUUUUUUUUAAUGAAUUUUUAGUUCAAUUUGAUGAAGUUUGAUUUAAAUUUCUAAUUUCUUAAUCAAAUGUAUAUGUAUUUAUUCUAGUGAAAUUAUGCUUAAAUUGUUAAUGUAACGGUCAAAUGUAAAUAUUCAUCACUUCUCUCUUUUUUUUUUCUCUUUCUUAUUUUUAGUUACAAUAUCUCUUUAAUUCAUUCCUUUAAAAUAAAUACUUUACUCGGUUUGAUUAAGGACAUUAAACAAGGAUUAUUUGUGACCAAUGAUUUCUUCAUUUAUAUUCCUUUUAAAGAAUGCAACAUCCAACUACACAAGAACACGUACAAGAAAAAGCAAGAGAAAACUACGUAGGAUAAGGAAUACUGAA
RNAcentral lists this long non-coding RNA (8176 nucleotides) under Cucumis sativus (cucumber). RNAcentral's name for it is "long non-coding RNA (CSAT_LNC002283)". Lineage: Eukaryota; Viridiplantae; Streptophyta; Magnoliopsida; Cucurbitales; Cucurbitaceae. The record is from RNAcentral.